GUCGGUUAUAGAGAAAAUAUAUGUUAAUUUAACAUUUUUGUUAGCUUUGUUUUAUUGUUAAAUUUACAGCUUGUUGAAGUGUCAUUAUUUUGUAAUAAAGGAAAAUAACUUAAGUAUUAAAUGUAGGGAUGGUUUGUCAAAAUUGCGUGCGAGUGUGCAUAACAACACAUUAAAACACUUUUAGUUACAGAGAAAUUUGUUACCACCCUGUCAGUAUACACUAAAUGAUUCCCACUGAUCAAAGCAGGGCAUAUAACAUGGUUUUAGUGGGAUCUAUAAGCAGCAAUUGAAUAUAAUAUUCAUAUGUGACUUUUUAGUUUGGUCCCAUCUGCUAACAUGGAGGUGGAGCUUAUGACCUAUACUGCAGCCAGCCACCAGGGGGCGAUCUAGGUGAUUUGGCUUCACUUUUUGGAGCUGUCAUGUCGUCAAUCUUUAUUUUACAGUUUAUGGUUUUUAGGACAUCGUAUGUUCUCCUACACACUUGGAAAGGGAGGGCGAGGCGAGUGGUACUUCGGCAGUGUAUUACUGCGCCAACUCGCCGCGGUAGCUUUGAGUGGAACAGCUGAUUUGCGUAGAAAUACAUGGCCGAAGUACGCUUGAAAAAAAGAUGCAAAUUGGUGUUGCCAAAUGGAAGGACUUACAUUUUAUGAAAAUGCACAAGGAAAGGGCAACAGCGCCGAUCAUAGCAGAAGUCACAGCUGGCGCAACUAUGAUGGCUUCAUUAGGAACAUGGGAAAAAAGAGGGGAAAAAAAGGAAGAAAGAAAAACUGUUGGACCUCCUCCAUGACCUUUAUACUGCUGCUGACCUCGUUGCUAUGGCUACAAGAGAUGGUGCCAUCCACCAGGACAACAGGAGACAAGACGUCCAGAAGUAAAUCCUUCCCCGUCAGUACAAAUACAGGAGUCACAGCACCGGAUCCUGUAAAAGCAACAAUAAAAUUCAUUGAAUUAGUGACAGUGGUCAUUAAAAUUACAGAUAAUUAUUGACAUGAUUAUUGGACUUCGGUCUUUGCAUUCAGUGCUUCACAUUGUGUGUGAUUUUAAAUAUAGUCUGCAGAAAGAAGAGCCACUGAUUUGAACCCAAUGUUUUUUUAUCCACUGCAUCAUUGCACAUAGACAAAUCAUUUGAAAAUAACUCAUGAUACACAAAUCCUUUUUUUUUCUCAGGAGUUAAACUAUUGUUCAGUGAGGUAGUUUUAUAACAAGCUCUUCACAGUAUAUUUAGACAUGUUUACAGAAUGUACAGUGUGGUCUGCGAGUAUUGAUCUGUGACUGUUUGAAGAAGAGAUGUAAUUUUAAAAAAAGGAAGU
Molecule: long non-coding RNA, 1310 nt
Organism: Scophthalmus maximus (turbot)
Lineage: Eukaryota; Metazoa; Chordata; Actinopteri; Pleuronectiformes; Scophthalmidae
Exons: 4
Source: RefSeq, a predicted model, not a curated record